RNAcentral lists this ribosomal RNA (497 nucleotides) under uncultured bacterium. RNAcentral describes it as "partial 16S ribosomal RNA". It matches the Rfam family "Bacterial small subunit ribosomal RNA", at positions 28 to 507 of the family's 1533-position model. The record is from RNAcentral.
GAUGAACGCUGGCGGCGUGCCUAAUACAUGCAAGUCGAGCGAACGGACGAGAAGCUUGCUUUUCUGAUGUUAGCGGCGGACGGGUGAGUAACACGUGGAUAACCUACCUAUAAGACUGGGAUAACUUCGGGAAACCGGAGCUACUACCGGAUAAUAUUUUGAACCGCAUGGUUCAAAAGUGAAAGACGGUCUUGCUGUCACUUAUAGAUGGAUCCGCGCUGCAUUAGCUAGUUGGUAAGGUAACGGCUUACCAAGGCAACGAUGCAUAGCCGACCUGAGAGGGUGAUCAGCCACACUGGAACUGAGACACGGUCCAGACUCCUACGGGAGGCAGCAGUAGGGAAUCUUCCGCAAAGGGCGAAAGCCUGACGGAGCAACGCCGCGUGAGUGAUGAAGGUCUUCGGAUCGUAAAACUCUGUUAUUAGGGAAGAACAUAUGUGUAAGUAACUGUGCACAUCUUGACGGUACCUAAUCAGAAAGCCACGGCUAACUACGUG